Molecule: non-coding RNA, 253 nt
Filed under: uncultured bacterium
Lineage: Bacteria
Also listed under: 1 other name
Description: partial 16S ribosomal RNA
Rfam family: Bacterial small subunit ribosomal RNA
Source: RNAcentral
UACGAAGGGGGCUAGCGUUGUUCGGAAUUACUGGGCGUAAAGCGCACGUAGGCGGAUUGUUAAGUGAGGGGUGAAAUCCCAGGGCUCAACCCUGGAACUGCCUCUCAUACUGGCAAUCUCGAGUUCGAGAGAGGUGAGUGGAAUUCCGAGUGUAGAGGUGAAAUUCGUAGAUAUUCGGAGGAACACCAGUGGCGAAGGCGGCUCACUGGCUCGAUACUGACGCUGAGGUGCGAAAGCGUGGGGAGCAAACAGG